UUUAAGUGAAAGAAGGCCGAGGACAAGGUGGAAAUGUGAUGAGGUGCUGAAACUGCAUCCUUUUAUAUAGAACAAUAUUUAUACAAUCAGAACACAGCAGAGCGCCUGGAGCAGAAUAUGCCAACAUAUCAGUCUGUAACCCUCCGGAAACUAUAUGCUCCUGCCUGAAACAGGAGGUUUCUGUGCUCUGCCAAAGGCAAGACCGGGGAGCCCUUGAAGUACAGGAGGCUGCUGAGAGGAGGAGGCUUUGCCAGGUCUUCUCCACUUUUCUGCUCCAAGAGGCCACCAUGCUGGAAGACCCACACGUCAGGAACCACCACACAACACAGGACCACCACCAUGAGCCCCACCACCUCAUUUAAAUGGCAGGCAUCUGGUCUCAGCACCUGAUGAGGUGCAAACUAUAGCAUGUACAGUGUGACAUGGCUAUAGUCUUUGAGGUAAUUUCCUACAGCUUAUUUCCACAUAAUAAUGGCCUCUUAACAACGGGGGCUAAUCAAGAAUUAAUGAGGCACUAAAACAUUUUAAGGAACAAUGAAGGAUUUAAAAAUUUCUCUUAUGUGUUUUAUUUAAAAAGCAAUUCAUUUAACAGUUACUGCCCUUUCUUUAGAGCCAUAUAAAAAGUCUUGGUACUCAUCAAAUGCAUCAGCUGAAAGGUUUUAUUCAUUUAUCAGUUAUUUACUUAAGCGGGGCUGCACAUAACUGCAGAGACCAAGGCAUCCCAAACCAGGCUUGGGCCCCCUGCCCCUUCACCACCAUCCUCUCCAGCACCCGCUGCUCUCACCCGUAAAGCCACUUUGUUCCUCUGACAGCGAAGUGCCACACUGAAAAUAGAACGAGGCCAGCCCAAAUUAGCACGACUGCCAAAAGGGGACUUUGCAUUGUCUCUGAGACUGUCUCUUUUUUUCCGUUUGCUUGUUACAGGAAAGGAGCAUGCACUUUGCUGGGGGAGCCAUCCUUCCUGAUGCUUGAAAAACUCAGAGUGAAUUUAAUGGGGGGAAAAAACAGUAUGGAUAACAAGCUAGUAAAGGAUUUCAUGUCAAUGACUCAACACUGAAUUAAAGCCUGAAAAUACUUUAUCUCUGCUAUCAGCCUGGAAGGGAUAAUCAAAAUAAAAACACAUUCGAAUGUGGCUUAUUUUAAAAA
This 1146-nucleotide long non-coding RNA is filed under the name Anser brachyrhynchus (Pink-footed goose). RNAcentral's name for it is "lncRNA (ENSABRG00000009093.1)". Lineage: Eukaryota; Metazoa; Chordata; Aves; Anseriformes; Anatidae. The record is from RNAcentral.